Molecule: transfer RNA, 76 nt
Filed under: Deltaproteobacteria bacterium RBG_13_49_15
Lineage: Bacteria; Deltaproteobacteria
Also listed under: 3 other names
Description: tRNA-Arg
Rfam family: tRNA
About the family: Transfer RNA (tRNA) molecules are approximately 80 nucleotides in length. Their secondary structure includes four short double-helical elements and three loops (D, anti-codon, and T loops).
Source: RNAcentral
GCGCCCGUAGCUCAGUGGAUAGAGCGCCAGCCUCCGGAGCUGGAAGCCGCUGGUUCGAUCCCAGCCGGGCGUACCA